AACGCUGGCGGCGUGCUUAACACAUGCAAGUCGAACGGAAAGGCCCUGCUUUUGUGGGGUGCUCGAGUGGCGAACGGGUGAGUAACACGUGAGUAACCUGCCCUUGACUUUGGGAUAACUUCAGGAAACUGGGGCUAAUACCGGAUAGGAGCUCCUGCUGCAUGGUGGGGGUUGGAAAGUUUCGGCGGUUGGGGAUGGACUCGCGGCUUAUCAGCUUGUUGGUGGGGUAGUGGCUUACCAAGGCUUUGACGGGUAGCCGGCCUGAGAGGGUGACCGGCCACAUUGGGACUGAGAUACGGCCCAGACUCCUACGGGAGGCAGCAGUGGGGAAUAUUGCACAAUGGGCGGAAGCCUGAUGCAGCAACGCCGCGUGCGGGAUGACGGCCUUCGGGUUGUAAACCGCUUUCGCCUGUGACGAAGCGUGAGUGACGGUAAUGGGUAAAGAAGCACCGGCUAACUACGUGCCAGCAGCCGCGGUGAUACGUAGGGUGCGAGCGUUGUCCGGAUUUAUUGGGCGUAAAGGGCUCGUAGGUGGUUGAUCGCGUCGGAAGUGUAAUCUUGGGGCUUAACCCUGAGCGUGCUUUCGAUACGGGUUGACUUGAGGAAGGUAGGGGAGAAUGGAAUUCCUGGUGGAGCGGUGGAAUGCGCAGAUAUCAGGAGGAACACCAGUGGCGAAGGCGGUUCUCUGGGCCUUUCCUGACGCUGAGGAGCGAAAGCGUGGGGAGCGAACAGGCUUAGAUACCCUGGUAGUCCACGCUGUAAACGGUGGGUACUAGGUGUGGGGUCCAUUCCACGGGUUCCGUGCCGUAGCUAACGCUUUAAGUACCCCGCCUGGGGAGUACGGCCGCAAGGCUAAAACUCAAAGGAAUUGACGGGGCCCCGCACAAGCGGCGGAGCAUGCGGAUUAAUUCGAUGCAACGCGUAGAACCUUACCUGGGUUUGACAUGGAUCGGGAGUGCUCAGAGAUGGGUGUGCCUCUUUUGGGGUCGGUUCACAGGUGGUGCAUGGCUGUCGUCAGCUCGUGUCGUGAGAUGUUGGGUUAAGUCCCGCAACGAGCGCAACCCUUGUUCACUGUUGCCAGCACGUUAUGGUGGGGACUCAGUGGAGACCGCCGGGGUCAACUCGGAGGAAGGUGGGGAUGACGUCAAGUCAUCAUGCCCCUUAUGUCCAGGGCUUCACGCAUGCUACAAUGGCUGGUACAGAGAGUGGCGAGCCUGUGAGGGUGAGCGAAUCUCGGAAAGCCGGUCUCAGUUCGGAUUGGGGUCUGCAACUCGACCUCAUGAAGUCGGAGUCGCUAGUAAUCGCAGAUCAGCAACGCUGCGGUGAAUACGUUCCCGGGGCUUGUACACACCGCCCGUCAAGUCAUGAAAGUUGGUAACACCCGAAGCCGGUGGCCUAACCGUUGUGGGGGAGCCGUCGAAGGUGGGACUGAUGAUUAGGACU
This 1443-nucleotide ribosomal RNA is filed under the name uncultured organism. RNAcentral's name for it is "partial small subunit ribosomal RNA". It matches the Rfam family "Bacterial small subunit ribosomal RNA". The record is from RNAcentral.